GAAACGGUUUGGGGUUAGGGAUUAGGCCGCCGCCGUUGUCACUGAGGAUGCGGACGCAAGAAGGAGAGGGUCUACAGCACGGAGCAGAGAGAAGAGGGGCCGGCGACACCUCCUCGGUGCCACGAGCCCGAUGGCACUCGUCGUCUCCUGGCUCGAGGUAGGAAGAGGUGAUGUUUCGUGGCGGGGAGAAGGUGGGUGAGGAAUCGGUGGCACAGGCUGGAGUUGGGAUUGAUCGAUCGGGGUGCCGAGGUGGGCAUCCUCCUAGGGGAGGUCCUCCUCGUAGACAACGCUUCCCCCGGCCCGGUACCUCUUGGGGAGGGUGCGCAGAGAGGUACCCAUCACUGUUGUACCGCCUCUCCUCUCCUCCUCCUCCUCGUGCAAUUGUAGGUAGGGAGAGGUGGAGAGGGGGUCGCGGUUACACUACUCACUCGAAUGGGAG
This 439-nucleotide ribosomal RNA is filed under the name Triticum aestivum (bread wheat). Its description in RNAcentral is "partial small subunit ribosomal RNA". Lineage: Eukaryota; Viridiplantae; Streptophyta; Magnoliopsida; Poales; Poaceae. The record is from RNAcentral.